CAAUAGCGUAUAUUAAAGUUGUUGCAGUUAGAACGCUCGUAGUCGGAUUUCGGGGCGGGGCGACCGGUCUGCCGAUGGGUAUGCACUGGUCGGCGCGUCCUUCCUUCCGGAGACCGUUCCUACUCUUAACUGAGCGGGGGCGGGAGACGGAUCGUUUACUUUGAAAAAAUCAGAGUGUUUCAAGCAGGCAGCUCGCUCUUGCAUGGAUUAGCAUGGGAUAAUGAAAUAGGACUUUGGUGCUAUUUUGUUGGUUUCGAACACCGAAGUAAUGAUUAAAAGGGACAGUCAGGGGCACUCGUAUUCCGCCGAGAGAGGUGAAAUUCUCAGACCAGCGGAAGACGAACCACUGCGAAAGCAUUUGCCAGGGAUGUCUNCACUG
This 379-nucleotide ribosomal RNA is filed under the name uncultured eukaryote. RNAcentral's name for it is "partial 18S ribosomal RNA". It matches the Rfam family "Eukaryotic small subunit ribosomal RNA", at positions 592 to 975 of the family's 1831-position model. The record is from RNAcentral.